This 256-nucleotide ribosomal RNA is filed under the name uncultured bacterium. Its description in RNAcentral is "partial 16S ribosomal RNA". It matches the Rfam family "Bacterial small subunit ribosomal RNA", at positions 524 to 776 of the family's 1533-position model. The record is from RNAcentral.
GACGUAGGUGGCGAACGUUAUCCGGAAUUAUUGGGCGUAAAGGGUGCGUAGGUGGCCUGACAAGUUAUCAGUGGCAAAUCGAGGCUCAACCUCGUGGAAACUGGUAAUACUGUUCGGCUUGAGUACAGGAGAGGUUAACGGAACUCUAUGUGGAGCGGUAAAAUGCACAGAUAUAUAGAAGAACAUCAAUAAAGGCGAAGGCGGUUAACUAUUCUGUUACUGACGCUGAGGCACGAAAGCGUGGGGAGCAAAACGG